RNAcentral lists this ribosomal RNA (232 nucleotides) under uncultured bacterium. RNAcentral's name for it is "partial 16S ribosomal RNA". It matches the Rfam family "Bacterial small subunit ribosomal RNA", at positions 99 to 334 of the family's 1533-position model. The record is from RNAcentral.
CGGACGGGUGAGUAAUGUCUGGGAAACUGCCCGAUGGAGGGGGAUAACUACUGGAAACGGUAGCUAAUACCGCAUAACGUCGCAAGACCAAGGAGGGGGACCUUCGGGCCUCUUGCCAUCGGAUGUGCCCAGAUGGGAUUAGCUAGUAGGUGGGGUAACGGCUCACCUAGGCGACGAUCCCUAGCUGGUCUGAGAGGAUGACCAGCCACACUGGAACUGAGACAUGGUCCAG